Cajanus cajan (pigeon pea) is the source of this 413-nucleotide long non-coding RNA. RefSeq lists it as uncharacterized. NCBI's taxonomy places the organism in Eukaryota, Viridiplantae, Streptophyta, Magnoliopsida, Fabales, Fabaceae. The record is from RefSeq and is a predicted model, not a curated record.
CCCCCUGCUAAAAAUAAAGAACAAUUUUAUGAAUAUCAAAAGAAGAAAAGCAACGGAAAAACAAGAGAGAAUGAAACUCCAGCAUGAUCACGCGAGGCUUGAGUUGCAGAGCCAUGAGAGAAAAUCGAAUGGAGCGAAGUCGUUAAGUGUUAACCGUGAAAUUCAAUCCUAGGGUUUUCGUUUAGGCCCUAUCUCAUCUUCGAUUCUCUGGAAUGAAUCAUCUUGUUCGGUGUAUUGUGGUGAGAUCUGACUUUGAUCCUUUUCUACCAUCAAAGCUGUUAAAUAUCAUACAAUAGUUUCGAAAACAAACAGGGUCCACAAUAUUGCUGCCACGACCACCAAAAGGAUUACAACCCCGCCAACUGAUGCUACUAUGGGUGUGACAGUGUUCUUCUUCUUCUUUUUCUUCUCGU